GGGAGCUUCCCAGAGUGGCUGGGGAGGCCUGGCCAAAUGGGUGGGGUAUAAAUAAUAAAUUAUUGUGAUGAUGAUGGUGAUGAUGGUGGUGGUGGUGAUUGUGAUUAUUGCUCCAGGCACACAAUUAGGAUGAUACAAACCAGCACCCCCCCCCAAUCCCCGGUGUGCACCCUCUGUGCCCUGUCCCCUCCUGGUGUGCCCCCUUGCCCAUCAGUAAUAAGUGCUGGGGCAGAGAACUCUUCAUGCCCCGUCCCUGCCUGGAGCACCAGCCUGGCCACAUCAGCGGCAAGGACUGGAUGAGCACCCUCUGCCUUUGCCUCCGGAGCUUGUGAACGCACCUGCCCCGGGAGCCGGCAAACAAUGCUACGCCCCUGGGAGGUACGGCCUCCCGCUGGCCUCUAGUCUUCUGUUUGAUGGAUAAGGCCAGAGUAGGGUCUCAUCCCCACUUCCAGCUGUCCCACCGCUUUUCCCUGGGGGACCCCACCUCUGAUUUGGAGCAAAUGUCAAUUGGGUUUUCUUUGGGGAAAGCAGUGGAGCAAAUGGAAGGCCACCGUGCUUUCUAGGCAUGGGGACAGUGGCAGGGCAGCUUGGAGCACGGAAACCAGCUCCCUGCAGCUGCUGCUUCUCUGGUAGAGGGAUUCAGUUCUCCUCCUUGCCAUUCUGUACUUCCUGAGAUGCAUGGCAUUCUUUCCACACUUCCCCUCCCCACUCCAAAAUCCCUUGACACAUUUCAAUGCUCCUUGUGGAUCCUAACUGACGCAUUUUGAUAAUACCCCCUUUGUUAUUAUAGUGGUACCUUGGUACUCAAACACCUUGGUUCCCAAACGCCAAAAACCCGGAAGUAAGUGUUCCAGUUUUCAAAAAAAAUUCAGAAGCUGAAUGUCCAAUACGGUUGUCAGCUAUUGUUUCCGGGGCGCCUGCACCAAUCAGAAGCUGCACCUCAGUUUUCGAACAUUUCAGAAGUCAAACGGACUUCUGGAACAGAUUAAGUUUGGCGCUUUUGUUUUUGCUAUUUAUUUUGUGUUUUUGUGGCUUUUUUUGGUUAAUUUGUUUUUGUGACUGUGUGGAACCCAGUUCAGCUACUGAUUGACUGAUUGUGUGACUGCGGAAAUGGAUAAAAGCCCCACAUCCAAACCAUGACUAUCAUCAGUGCAGGUAAGGGAAAAAAUUAAUUUUAUUUUUCAACAUCUACAAUACUGUCUUAUUUAUUUUAUAGUACAGUACAUUGAUUAUUGCUUUCACUUUAUGGAUCAGUGGUCUCGUUAGAUAGUAAAAUUCAUGUGAAAUUGCUGUUUUAGGGGUUGUUUUUAAAAGUCGGGAAUGGGUUAAUCUGUUUUGCAUUCCUUUCUAUGGGAAAGCGUGUCUUGGUUUUGGAACGCUUUGGUUUUUGAACGUACUUCCGGAACAGAUUAAGUUUGAGAACCAAGGUACCACUGGAUUAUUUAUUUAUUUAUUUAUUUAUUUAUUUAUUUAUUUAUUGAAUUUAUAUACCGCCCCACACCCGGAGGUCUCAGGGCAGUUUUCAGGACUGGAAAUCCUGCUGCUAUCUCCUGAGAUCCUCUUUAGCUUUAUGCUCAUCCCCGCCUUGUCAUCCUGGGCCAAUAAUGCUCUGAUUAACUUUCAGAGCCUGCUUAUUAGGCAUCAGGGAGCCGCUUCUGGGUUUUAAGGGACGGCACAGCAAUAUGGCUCAGGUUUAUAGAUUCAUAUGUUGCAUCACAUUCAUAUUUGAUUAUGUUUUCUCUGCUGGGAAUAUUAAAAAGAUUAUUGCAUUCCUUUUGUUCUAGCUUCUUCCACAAAACCUGUGUGCAAUGAUGUAGGAUGCAUUGGGUCUAGUGAUAAGGGCUGCUUUUGCACAUGAAGGUGGGGAGAAAUUGUGGCUCUCUGGGAAAAGGCUGCCACAGGGGCUUCCAUACAACAGAUUAACACAAGACAGUCCUGCCCACAGGGUUAACAUCUAAAAGGCAUGACACACAAGGGGAAAGGGACAGGGAGGGAAGAGGAAAAAAGCAAACUCAGACAAUGAUUCUUAAAUAGAAGUUCAUGCCAGCUAGCAUAGAAACAGCCUGAUGGAGCUAGUCUUUCAGAAAGGCUGAUGGAAUUAGUCCUGCUUCUCAUCUCUCCCACCAAGGCAGCCAGACCACCAUUCGCAGUAUUUGUUUUUCCCAUGAAACUAGACAGGAACACAUAGGAAUCACGAACGCAGCAUAGUCGUUAUUUUUAUUCAUAUGCUUAAGAUAAUUUAUUUGCCUUCCUUUGCAUGAACCACAAGGUGGUUUACAACAAGGCAAACAGACAGAAAUCAAUAAAACCCAUCCAACAGCACAAUCGUUCGAAAAACAUGCAACAAAUAGCAAAAGAGAAAUGACUGAUCAAAGUAGCAGCAAUUGGAUCUCUCCUGCUCCAAACACUCGCUGAAAAAGAUUCAUCUUAACUAACCAUUUAAAAGUACAGAGAGACGGGGUCAGGCACACCUUACUAGGGAGGUGAUUCCACAUAUGAGGAGCUGCCACUGACAGGGAACAAGGGUUCAGGCAGGGGAUAUCCACAGGAGAGAUACCACAGGGUAUUGAACCAAGGCCUUCUGCAUGAAAGCAGAUGCUAUGCACUAAGCCAUGGGCCCUCAGUUAUCUUAGUAAUUUCCUGCUUUUGCUGGAAGUGGGUGGUGGUGCACAAGCCGAGUCCCCACCAGGUAUUUAUCAGUUGCAGUGACGUAGCAUGGGUUGUCAGCACCCGGGACAGCGCAGAGCAGGUGGGUGGGUGGAUACGAGGGGAAAGGAUGAAGCACGCAUGUGCAUUCAACUGCCUUUUGGCUUCCAUGUCACCCAGGAGAUUGCAGUCACAGAGAUAAGAAAAGAAGAGUUGUUCCGUUGUCCAGGGAAAUCAUUUCUUGGUUUGUAUGAAGAAGCCAUUUUCAGCGGAACUGUAUUGAGACAGCACUGAGUGUUGAAAUUUUGCACCCCCUAACAAUUUUACGCCCGAGGAAACCAUCCCUGUGCCCCCCCCACACACACACACACUACGCCACAGGUCAGUUGACACUCUCUUUUUCUGCUUCUGCUUCUUUCUUUCUUUCAGAUGCGGCAGCCAUUUUGUGCCUCGUCAUACCCACCCAGCAGCCAUUUUGUGAUAGACACCCAUGGCACUUUCUCAACAUUCCAAACAUGCCAAAUGUCCCCUCUCAAAAAAAAAUAUCUUGCUAGCUUUUGCUUGUCAGUGCCUCGCUUCCGGGGCUCCUGAUCCAAACCUGAAAACAUCCGACACUUAGAUAACUUGCAUGCUGGGCCGACGUGGACUGAUUUGGUGACAGCCCACUGAAACCCUCCUCAGGAUCCUCAGCUUCCAAGUCUUUGAGCUCCUUCUACCACUCGUGAUGGAAGUGGAAGGACAUGAACUGGCAGGACAACAGGGAGGAGGGGGGAGAUUCUGGCAAGGGGUAUAGCUGAGACUAGGACACACUUGGGCAAGCUGGGAUGGGAAAGAGAAGUUUGUGUAGGAAGUACUCACGGGGUGACGAAGGGUGACAAGGGGGUCAAUUGGGGUCAAUGCACAGGAACCAGAGCAGCAGGGCUGUCAGGUAGCAGAGGAACCAACCCCCAUGGCUGGUUGCCAGGAACGGAUAAGACAAUGGCUCAGGACAGCAAUACCUCAAGGACCGCCUCUUUCCAUAUGAACCUUCCCGGACCCUGAGAUCAUCUUCUGAGGCCCUUCUUCAUGUGCCUCCUUCUCAAGAUGUCCGGAGGGUGGCAACACGAGAACGGGCCUUCUCUGCAGUGGCUCCCCGUCUCUGGAAUGCUCUCCCCAGGGAAAUUCGCCUGGCGCCUUCAUUAUUUACCUUUAGGCACCAGGCAAAAACAUUCCUUUUUAACCAGGCCUUUGGUUGACCUGAUGGACAUCCUAUACCCUUUUAAAAUGUGGCUCUUGGGGGGGGGGGCUGUUACUGAGUUAUUGUUCUUAUUUUGAUUUUAUAGAUUGUGAUUUUAUUCUGUGAACUGCCCUGAUACCUCUGGGUAUAGGGCAGUAUAUUUAUUAAGACAAGGAAAAGUCCUUACCAUCUGCUUUUUAUUCAAUAUUUACAGAGAGAGGCUUGGCAAUGCAACCUCUUGGAAUAAUGGCGUUGUCCCGAGUAAAUCUAUACCCCCUCUUCUCUCCCACUUCCUCAUUGGUCAACAGCACACACACCCCUUUACGGGUGCCGCUACAUGCCCUCUGUCUUUGAGCUCUUUGCUCUCCUACUUUUAAGGCUCCCCAGAUUCUAGGAGAUGGUGGGUCUGGAAUGCUUUCUAGUAAUAAUGUGGCAGCCAGCUGCUUUGACUCUGCCUCCUCCUCCUCUCCCAUUAUUUCCCAACUUUUCCCUUCAUCUUCCUCUGAGCUGUGACCUCCCUCAAACCCCUGCUGUAAUUUCUGAACUGUCUUCUUCUUCUUCUCUGGAAGGGUCAGGCUGGGGAGGUGGUCUGCACUAUCCCUCCUCUGCCCAGUCCCUGACAAGGGCCCAUCACCAGAGCUAGAGGGGCCCCAGUCUCCUAGAACACGGCAGGCUUUCAGGCAUAAGGAGCAGCAGGAGUGAUGCUCUAGGAGGUUCAGGCGGGCAAGGACCCACAGCCCAGGUCACUAGCUGGCCAGGUGGGGCUUGCUAGCUCUGGGAGGAGGUGUGUGAUUCCUCAGCUGGAAUAGGCUCAGGACAGGUGAGGGUCACCUGCCUCCUCAAGCCCAGAUGCUGCGGUCAGCAUUCAAAGUAUAAAAGGGCAGCAGAGCUGAGGUGCUGUGUCUGCUCAUCUGCCCAUGUUGAUGGACCUCAGCUUGAAUCUUUGCAGGACUUUGGACCUGUGGAUUGACCCUGAACUGGGGGCUUGACAUACUAACUUGCCACCAGGUAGGCCAGGGGUUCAGGACACUGAUCCAAUUGCGGUUCUGCUGCGGUCCUGAGUCCCUGCAGGACGUCUCCACGGGACUUGCAAUGCUGUAGUCACCAGAUGGGUACCAUGAACCGCUCCCAGUGGGCACUUCCAGCCCAGAAGGCAGAGAUCAUAGCCCUAAACCACAGCAGUGCAAUUGGCGGGAGGCUGGAUAAUAAUAUAAUAAUAAUUUAUUAUUUAUACCCUGCCCAUCUUGCUGAGUUUCCCCAGCCACUCUGGGUAGCUUCCAACAAAAGUUUAAAAAUACACUAAAACAUCAGUCAUUAAAAGCUUCCCUAAACAGGGCUGCCUUCAUAUGUCUUCUAAAUGUCAGAGAGUUGUUUAUUUCUUUGACAUCUGACGGGAGGGCAUUCCACAGGGCAGGUGCCACUACCGAGAAGGCCCUCUACCUUGUUCCCUGUAACCUCACUUCUCGCAGUGAGGGAACCGCCAGAAGCCCCUCAGAGCUGGACCUCAGUGUCCGAGCUGAACGAUGGGGGUGGAGACGCUCCUUCAAAGCAUGCUCUCACAACACUUGAUCCUCAUGGGGCCUGAAGGAAAGGGGCCAUCCCAAAUCUACAGGAAAGGCAGUAAAUUAUGUCUCAGAAAUCAUUGCUGUCCUGGAAGCAGCGUGGACCACCUAGGAGGUGGCAGUAGUCCUCUGCCAAGCACAACAGAAAGGACAAAUUGAAAUCAAAAGGAAAAUGAAGGACAGAUUUGGCAGCCAAAGCAGCUGCAGAAUGGGAAUCACCUGAGAAAGGAGCUGUCAGCGUUGAGGAACAAGUUAUCAUCCCUGUAUUAUUGUGUGGAAUGUCUUGGGUUCUUGUCAGAAUGAGGUCCAUUUUGGUGGGUGCCAAGGUGAGUGCCUCAGCCACCCACAGCAAACCGUGCCAUCUGCAGUCAGAGUUCCCCUCAGACUACCUGGUGGCUUUUGUAAUACAGUAGUACCUCGGGUUACAGACGCUGCAGGUUACGGACACUUCAGGUUACAGACUCCGCUAACCCAGAAAUAGUACCUUGGGUUAAGAACUUUGCUUCAGGAUGAGAACAGAAAUCGUGUGGCAGUGGCAGCAGGAGGCCCCAUUAGCUAAAGUACCUCAGGUUAAGAACAGUUUCAGGUUAAGAACUGACCUCCAGAAUGAAUUAAGUUCUUAACCCGAGGUACCACUGUACCCCUCUUCCACUCGGUGGAAUGCAAUGUUAUCAUUCUUUAUCAUGAUGAGGUCCAUUUGGGUGUAAUGGCAGUUCUCUGCAACUGGAGGCAAACUCCAUCUUUCACUUAGCAAACGGGAGUCGGAAGGGGCCGUGACGAUAGAUCCCUGUUUGACGUUGUCGGCAGGUUGAGUCAGCCACGAGCAGCACCGUCUCGGGCACCGUUCAUUUUUCAUUUUCACCGCCUUGCCUUCAUUUCACCACUAAUCUAAUCCUUCUGCCAACGCUCCGUUCCCUGAUGGCCGCAGAAACUCCCCUCUUGCCUAUACAUGCGAUAUUACUCCUAUAGAUCACCGCUUUUAGAAUUUAAAGUUGUAAUUACUGCAAAGUAUUUACUUGGUAAUCUGGAAACAAACUCCCUCUUUUUCUUCCCUGCCACCGGUCCAGCCGUCUUCGCAGCCAUCAUGAACUGCCAUCUCAACCGGCACAUGCCUGGAAUGCCAAUAACUUUCCGGGAAGGGUCCCUGGACUGCAAUCGCUGCAGUCACGGGCUCUGACUGCCAGAGUGAACUUUAACAAAAUCAAUUGAAUCCAGAGGACCAAUAUGAAUGCUGUUGAACUUUGGACUAUUAUCUGAAAUAACUGUGACUGACAAAAACGGUUCUCUGGGUAACCUUAUGCGGGCUCUCGCACAGCCCCUUUAGCGAGACCCGUUUAUUGAGAGAAUCCCACGGGUAAUUAAGUGGCCGCUGAUUGCCUUGAAAUAUUACGCGGCCAAGAAAAAUGAUCCCUUUCUCUAAUGACAGCCAGGUACCAUUUUCCUCUAAAGGUGGAUAAAGGGCUUCCUCUCUCCCUUUCUCAGGAACAAGUGCUGAGAUUCAAUUUCUGUCUCUCUCUCUCCCGCGCUCCCAUUUUAUUCCAUUGUGCGAAAGGCCACGGUUUUCAAGCUGGGGGCGGGGGGAAUCCCUUUAUGCAGCAUUGUUCAUUUUAAACUUCUGCUGAAUAGGAGCUCGCUCCAGCUUUAUUCCUAGAGGCAUACGAGAAAUGCCUCUGAAUCUGUGUCUUGGGUGGAGUUGCUGCUGAGAGCUCAGCUUUGCUGCUUGCGGGAAACGUCGGGUCUGCCCCUAACCAAGGCCUGCAGUAGAUCUGCUGGCUGGGAUGACUUCACUUAUAACAUAUGCUCCAACUUUUCCCAAGAUAAAUCCGGAACAUCGCCCUAACUAGUGGCAUCGCAAGGGGGGGCCAUGCACCCCGGGUGCCGUGUCUGGGGGGGUGACAAGAAGGCACCCCGCAGGGUGCUCGCCCUGCCGCCCCGGGCGCGGUGGCACAAGAAGCCAUCACGCCGCCUCAGCCACGUGUGGAGGAUCCUCCGUUCACGGAUGCAGUAGCGAGCAAAGGAUCCUACCCCUGCACAGGCCACUUCAGCCCGCCACUGCCACUGCCACUGCCACUAUCCCUAUCCCUGUGUGGCCUAGCCACUCACACUGCCACCCGCAUAGGCUACAUCAGCCUGCCACUGCCACCCUACCGCUCGCCUCCCUGCCCGCUCAGUCCACUUUGGCCCACCAUGGCUGCUGCUGCCACCCCACCACCCUGCAACCUUACCUUCACCAGCUGGGCUCUCUCUUCUCCCAAGCCGCUUCCAGAAAGGCGUCAGCGGACGUGGCUGAGACCUAGAGACAGAGGAGGCUUUGCCACAGUGGCUGUGGAGGCAGCCUUGGCCUCGCCUUGGCAGUGGCAGAGGAAGUGAGACAUCUGGGAAUUAAAACAGAAGCCUUUUGUAGAUCCAGGAUGUCCCAUUCAAAGUGGAGCAGGUGGAAGGUCUAUUAUAAGGUGGAAGUGUGUGGCAAAGUGGAAGAACAGCUGUUUGCAUGCAGAAGGUCCCAGUUUCAAUUGCCAAUGGCAUCUCCAGCUAUGGCUGGGAAUGUCCCCUACCUGAAACCCUGGGGGGUGGCUGCCAGUCAGUGUCAACAGCACUGAGAUGAAUGGAUCAAUAAUCUGGCUCAGUUAAAGCUAUCUUCCCAUGUUCCUAUUUGGGAAGGGCCGAAUAGCAGAACAUCUGCUUUUCAUGCAGUAGGUCCCAGGUUCAGUUCCUGGCAGAAUCUACAGGUUCGGGCUGAGAAUGUUGUCAUUGAAUUCUAUUCAGUAUUGAUCCAGAGUACUGAUCCAUAAAGAAGGCUGAUCACCGAAGAAUUGAUGCUUUUGAAUUAUGGUGCUGGAGGAGACUCUUGAGAGUCCGAUGGACUGCAAG
This 8295-nucleotide long non-coding RNA is filed under the name Podarcis lilfordi (Lilford's wall lizard). Lineage: Eukaryota; Metazoa; Chordata; Lepidosauria; Squamata; Lacertidae. The record is from RNAcentral.